RNAcentral lists this ribosomal RNA (255 nucleotides) under uncultured bacterium. Its description in RNAcentral is "partial 16S ribosomal RNA". It matches the Rfam family "Bacterial small subunit ribosomal RNA", at positions 524 to 776 of the family's 1533-position model. The record is from RNAcentral.
UACGUAGGGUGCAAGCGUUGUCCGGGAUUUAUUGGGCGUAAAGAGCUCGUAGGCGGUCUGUCGCGUCGGAUGUGAAAACCCAGGGCUCAACCCUGGGCCUGCAUUCGAUACGGGCAGACUAGAGUACGGCAGGGGAGACUGGAAUUCCUGGUGUAGCGGUGAAAUGCGCAGAUAUCAGGAGGAACACCGGUGGCGAAGGCGGGUCUCUGGGCCGUAACUGACGCUGGAGGAGCGAAAGCGUGGGGAGCGAACAGG